UACGGGGGGGGCAAGCGUUGUUCGGAAUUACUGGGCGUAAAGGGUUUGUAGGUGGCUCGCUAAGUCAGACGUGAAAUCCCUCAGCUUAACUGGGGAACUGCGUCUGAGACUGGCGAGCUUGAGUGCAGGAGAGGAACGCGGAAUUCCAGGUGUAGCGGUGAAAUGCGUAGAUAUCUGGAGGAACACCGGUGGCGAAGGCGGCGUUCUGGACUGCAACUGACACUGAGGAACGAAAGCCAGGGGAGCAAACGGG
RNAcentral lists this ribosomal RNA (253 nucleotides) under uncultured bacterium. Its description in RNAcentral is "partial 16S ribosomal RNA". It matches the Rfam family "Bacterial small subunit ribosomal RNA", at positions 524 to 776 of the family's 1533-position model. The record is from RNAcentral.